Small nuclear RNA from Pteropus vampyrus (large flying fox), 102 nucleotides. The record is from Ensembl. NCBI's taxonomy places the organism in Eukaryota, Metazoa, Chordata, Mammalia, Chiroptera, Pteropodidae.
GUGCUUGCUUUGGCAGCAUAUAAAAUUGGAACGAUACAGAGAAGAUUAGCAUGGCCCCUGAGCAAGGAUGACACACAAAUUCGUGAUGUGUCCCGUAUUUUU